Molecule: ribosomal RNA, 1719 nt
Filed under: Listeria innocua
Lineage: Bacteria; Bacillati; Bacillota; Bacilli; Caryophanales; Listeriaceae
Description: bacterial LSU rRNA
Rfam family: Bacterial large subunit ribosomal RNA
Source: RNAcentral
CUCUUCGGAGGUUCGUGGUAGGAGAGCGUUCUAAGGGCGGUGAAGUCAGACCGGAAGGACUGGUGGAGCGCUUAGAAGUGAGAAUGCCGGUAUGAGUAGCGAAAGAAGGGUGAGAAUCCCUUCCACCGAAUAUCUAAGGUUUCCUGAGGAAGGCUCGUCCGCUCAGGGUUAGUCGGGACCUAAGCCGAGGCCGAUAGGCGUAGGCGAUGGACAACAGGUAGAGAUUCCUGUACCAGUGCUAAUUGUUUAACCGAUGGGGUGACACAGAAGGAUAGGGAAUCGCACGAAUGGAAAUGUGCGUCCAAGCAGUGAGUGUGAGAAGUAGGCAAAUCCGCUUCUCGCGAAGCAUGAGCUGUGAUGGGGAAGGAAAUUAAGUACGGAAGUUCCUGAUUUCACGCUGUCAAGAAAAGCCUCUAGGAAGAGUAGUACUGCCCGUACCGCAAACCGACACAGGUAGAUGAGGAGAGAAUCCUAAGGUGAGCGAGAGAACUCUCGUUAAGGAACUCGGCAAAAUGACCCCGUAACUUCGGGAGAAGGGGUGCUCUAUUAGGGUGCAAGCCCGAGAGAGCCGCAGUGAAUAGGCCCAGGCGACUGUUUAGCAAAAACACAGGUCUCUGCAAAACCGUAAGGUGACGUAUAGGGGCUGACGCCUGCCCGGUGCUGGAAGGUUAAGAGGAGUGCUUAGCUUCGGCGAAGGUACGAAUUGAAGCCCCAGUAAACGGCGGCCGUAACUAUAACGGUCCUAAGGUAGCGAAAUUCCUUGUCGGGUAAGUUCCGACCCGCACGAAAGGCGCAACGAUCUGGGCACUGUCUCAACGAGAGACUCGGUGAAAUUAUAGUACCUGUGAAGAUGCAGGUUACCCGCGACAGGACGGAAAGACCCCGUGGAGCUUUACUGCAACCUGAUAUGGAAUGUUUGUACCGCUUGUACAGGAUAGGUAGGAGCCGAAGAGACGUGUGCGCUAGCAUACGAGGAGGCAAUGGUGGGAUACUACCCUGGCUGUAUGACCAUUCUAACCCGCCACGCUAAGCGCGUGGGGAGACAGUGUCAGGUGGGCAGUUUGACUGGGGCGGUCGCCUCCUAAAGAGUAACGGAGGCGCCCAAAGGUUCCCUCAGAAUGGAUGGAAAUCAUUCGCAGAGUGUAAAGGCACAAGGGAGCUUGACUGCGAGACUGACAAGUCGAGCAGGGACGAAAGUCGGGCUUAGUGAUCCGGUGGUUCCGCAUGGAAGGGCCAUCGCUCAACGGAUAAAAGCUACCCCGGGGAUAACAGGCUUAUCUCCCCCAAGAGUCCACAUCGACGGGGAGGUUUGGCACCUCGAUGUCGGCUCGUCGCAUCCUGGGGCUGUAGUCGGUCCCAAGGGUUGGGCUGUUCGCCCAUUAAAGCGGCACGCGAGCUGGGUUCAGAACGUCGUGAGACAGUUCGGUCCCUAUCCGUCGCGGGCGCAGGAAAUUUGAGAGGAGCUGUCCUUAGUACGAGAGGACCGGGAUGGACACACCGCUGGUGUACCAGUUGUUCCGCCAGGAGCAUCGCUGGGUAGCUAUGUGUGGCAGGGAUAAACGCUGAAAGCAUCUAAGCGUGAAGCCCCCCUCAAGAUGAGAUUUCCCAUUUCUUCGGAAAGUAAGAUCCCUGAAAGAUGAUCAGGUAGAUAGGUUUGGAGUGGAAGUGUAGCGAUACAUGGAGCGGACAAAUACUAAUCGAUCGAGGACUUAACCAAAA